RNAcentral lists this non-coding RNA (25 nucleotides) under Rattus norvegicus (Norway rat). Lineage: Eukaryota; Metazoa; Chordata; Mammalia; Rodentia; Muridae. The record is from RNAcentral.
GAAAAGAGUAGGGUACCCUGAAGAA